This 376-nucleotide unclassified non-coding RNA is filed under the name uncultured bacterium. Its description in RNAcentral is "contains 16S-23S intergenic spacer region". The record is from RNAcentral.
UCCGGUUUGUCACCGGCAGUCCCAUUAGAGUGCCCAACUGAAUGUGGCAACUAAUGGCAAGGGUUGCGCUCGUUGCGGGACUUAACCCAACAUCUCACGACACGAGCUGACGACAGCCAUGCAGCACCUGUGCACGGACUCCGAAGAGGGACCGAUGUUUCCACCGGCUUUCCCGUGCAUGUCAAGCCCAGGUAAGGUUCUUCGCGUUGCAUCGAAUUAAACCACAUACUCCACCGCUUGUGCGGGCCCCCGUCAAUUCCUUUGAGUUUCAGUCUUGCGACCGUACUCCCCAGGCGGCGAACUUAACGCGUUAGCUGCGCCACCGAAACUCCAUGAGCCCCGACAGCUAGUCAUCAUCGUUUACGGCGUGGACUAC